AGAGUUUGAUCAUGGCUCAGAUUGAACGCUGGCGGCAGGCUUAACACAUGCAAGUCGAGCGGAAACGAUGAUUGCUUGCAAUCAGGCGUCGAGCGGCGGACGGGUGAGUAAUGCUUGGGAAUGUACCUUUUGGUGGGGGACAACAGUUGGAAACGACUGCUAAUACCGCAUAACGUCUACGGACCAAAGCGGGGGACCUUCGGGCCUCGUGCCAAGAGAUCAGCCCAAGUGAGAUUAGCUAGUUGGUGGGGUAAAGGCCUACCAAGGCGACGAUCUCUAGCUGGUUUGAGAGGAUGAUCAGCCACACUGGGACUGAGACACGGCCCAGACUCCUACGGGAGGCAGCAGUGGGGAAUAUUGCACAAUGGGGGAAACCCUGAUGCAGCCAUGCCGGGUGUGUGAAGAAGGCCUUCGGGUUGUAAAGCACUUUCAGUCGUGAGGAAAGGGUGUACGUUAAUACCGUGCAUCUGUGACGUUAGCGACAGAAGAAGCACCGGCUAACUCCGUGCCAGCAGCCGCGGUAAUACGGAGGGUGCGAGCGUUAAUCGGAAUUACUGGGCGUAAAGCGUGCGUAGGCGGAUUGUUAAGCGAGAUGUGAAAGCCCCGGGCUCAACCUGGGAACUGCAUUUCGAACUGGCAGUCUAGAGUUUUGUAGAGGGUGGUGGAAUUUCCAGUGUAGCGGUGAAAUGCGUAGAGAUUGGAAGGAACAUCAGUGGCGAAGGCGGCCACCUGGACAAAAACUGACGCUGAGGCACGAAAGCGUGGGGAGCAAACAGGAUUAGAUACCCUGGUAGUCCACGCCGUAAACGAUGUCAACUAGGCUGUCUGUGUCCUUGAGACGUGGGUAGCGUAGCUAACGCGCUAAGUUGACCGCCUGGGGAGUACGACCGCAAGGUUAAAACUCAAAUGAAUUGACGGGGGCCCGCACAAGCGGUGGAGCAUGUGGUUUAAUUCGAUGCAACGCGAAGAACCUUACCAUCCCUUGACAUCCAGAGAAUUUACUAGAGAUAGUUUAGUGCCUUCGGGAGCUCUGAGACAGGUGCUGCAUGGCUGUCGUCAGCUCGUGUUGUGAAAUGUUGGGUUAAGUCCCGCAACGAGCGCAACCCUUAUCCUUAGUUGCUAGCGGUUAGGCCGAGAACUUUAAGGAGACUGCCGGUGAUAAACCGGAGGAAGGUGGGGACGACGUCAAGUCAUCAUGGCCCUUACGGGAUGGGCUACACACGUGCUACAAUGGCGUAUACAGAGGGCUGCGAGACCGCGAGGUGGAGCGAAUCCCAGAAAGUACGUCGUAGUCCGGAUUGGAGUCUGCAACUCGACUCCAUGAAGUCGGAAUCGCUAGUAAUCGUAGAUCAGAAUGCUACGGUGAAUACGUUCCCGGGCCUUGUACACACCGCCCGUCACACCAUGGGAGUGGGUUGCAAAAGAAGUAGCUAGUCUAACCUUCGGGGGGACGGUUACCACUUUGUGAUUCAUGACUGGGGUGAAGUCGU
This 1490-nucleotide ribosomal RNA is filed under the name uncultured Gammaproteobacteria bacterium. Its description in RNAcentral is "uncultured gamma proteobacterium 16S ribosomal RNA". It matches the Rfam family "Bacterial small subunit ribosomal RNA". Lineage: Bacteria; Pseudomonadati; Pseudomonadota; Gammaproteobacteria. The record is from RNAcentral.